GCUGUGCCUAGCCCAAAAAUCAAUAAAAUUCAACUAUAAUUAUUAAUUAAAAUAAAACAUUCAACUAAUAUAAGAGUAUAGGUGAUAGAAACUAUAAUAUGGCGCUAUAGAGAAAGUACCGCAAGGGAACGAUGAAAGAAACUACUAAAGCAAUAAAUAGCAAAGUUUACCCCUUGUACCUUUCGCAUAAUGAUUUAACUAGAACAAAUUAGCAAAGAGAACUUAAGUUAACUCCCCCGAAACCAGACGAGCUAUUCACAAGCAGCUUAACAGAGCAAUCCCGUCUAUGUGGCAAAAUAGUGGGAAGACUUAUGAAUAGAGGUGAAAAGCCUAUCGAGCCUGGUGAUAGCUGGUUGUCCAGAAAAAGAAUAUUAGUUCAACUUUAAGCCUACCUAAAACCACUAUAAUUUAAUUGUAGACUUAAAAGAUAGUCUAAAAGGGUACAGCCUUUUAGACAUAGGCUACAACCUUGCCUAGAGAGUAAGUACACUAACAAAUCAUAGUUGGCCUAAAAGCAGCCAUCAAUAAAGAAAGCGUUCAAGCUCAACACACACAACACUAUAAUCUCAACCAUAGACACGAACUCCUAGUAAAAAACUGGACCACUCUAUGCCUGUAUAGAAAAAAUACUGUUAAUAUGAGUAACAAGAACCUAGUUCUCCUAGCACAAAUGUAUAUCAGAACGAAUACUCACUGAUAAUUAACAACUAUAAGACCACUCUCACAACAAGACACUUAUCACUACAUUGUUAAUCCAACACAGGAGUGCUCUAAGGACAGAUUAAAAGAAGUAAAAGGAACUCGGCAAACACAAACCCCGCCUGUUUACCAAAAACAUCACCUCUAGCAUACACAGUAUUGGAGGCACUGCCUGCCCAGUGACAUACGUUCAACGGCCGCGGUAUCCUGACCGUGCAAAGGUAGCAUAAUCACUUGUUCUCUAAAUAAGGACUUGUAUGAACGGCUCCACGAGGGUUUUACUGUCUCUUACUUCCAAUCAGUGAAAUUGACCUCCCCGUGAAGAGGCGGGAAUAUAAUAAUAAGACGAGAAGACCCUAUGGAGCUUUAAUUAAUUAACCUAGUAUAGACAUAAUCUACCAACAGGAAUAAACUACUUUACUAUAGGUUAACAAUUUAGGUUGGGGUGACCUCGGAGUAUAAAACAUCCUCCAAGAAUAUACAAACUUAGACUAACUAGUCAAAGCCACAGCACUAAUUGAUCCAAAAUUUUUUGAUCAACGGAACAAGUUACCCUAGGGAUAACAGCGCAAUCCUAUUCAAGAGUCCCUAUCGACAAUAGGGUUUACGACCUCGAUGUUGGAUCAGGACAUCCUAAUGGUGCAACAGCUAUUAACGGUUCGUUUGUUCAACGAUUAAAGUCCUACGUGAUCUGAGUUCAGACCGGAGUAAUCCAGGUCGGUUUCUAUCUAUUACCCAUGUCCCUCCCAGUACGAAAGGACAAGAGAGACAAGGCCUCCAUUAAUAAAGCGCCUUACAGCCUAACAGAUGAUAUAUUAUUAAUCUAACAAGCUAUAACAACUAGCCCCUAGACACAGGGAU
RNAcentral lists this ribosomal RNA (1560 nucleotides) under Macrophyllum macrophyllum. RNAcentral's name for it is "16S ribosomal RNA". It matches the Rfam family "Bacterial large subunit ribosomal RNA". The record is from RNAcentral. Lineage: Eukaryota; Metazoa; Chordata; Mammalia; Chiroptera; Phyllostomidae.